UACGGGGGGGGCAAGCGUUGUUCGGAAUUACUGGGCGUAAAGGGCUCGUAGGCGGCCAACUAAGUCGGAUGUGAAAUCCCCAGGCUUAACCUGGGAACUGCAUCCGAUACUGGAUGGCUUGAAUCCGGGAGAGGGAUGCAUAAUUCCAGGUGUAGCGGUGAAAUGCGUAGAUAUCUGGAGGAAUACCGGUGGCGAAGGCGGCAUCCUGGACCGGCAUUGACGCUGAGGAGCGAAAGCUAGGGGAGCAAACGGG
RNAcentral lists this ribosomal RNA (253 nucleotides) under uncultured bacterium. RNAcentral's name for it is "partial 16S ribosomal RNA". It matches the Rfam family "Bacterial small subunit ribosomal RNA", at positions 524 to 776 of the family's 1533-position model. The record is from RNAcentral.